GGGGCGGGGAGGGGGCGCAGGCCCGCGCGCCCCCGCCUCCCGCGCCCCAUUGUUCCCGGCGGCCGUCCCGGGCCCUCCGGGCCACCCCCCAGGAACCCAGGCGUCCCCAACUCACGGCUCUGGGGUCUGGGGAAGGCCGGAAGGCAGAAUCCAGCCCCAGGGGACUUAACCCCUUGAAUGCCCUGACUCGGGGGCCGGGCUGGACGCCGAGGACUCUGGGGUCCUUCUCAAGGGGUGAUCCCAGGCUGAGGACCCGGGGACCAGUUCAGGGUGACUGGGACGGAGCAGGAAGUGACCCCAGCUUCCCGGGCCCCUCUAGCCUGGAGUCAGAGCAUCAGCUCUAUGGGAUUUAACCCUUUGCCUCCCGCAGCCUGGGAAAAAAGAGGACGGGGAGCAGAGAGGUGGCCGAGACGACGCCCCUCUCUCUGUCUCCAGCGGGAGCGGGGCCUCCGGGGGAGCCCAGAUGCUAGUGGGGGGGUCUCUGGAUUGCUGGCCACUAUCCAUCUCGGAGGGGCUCUACCGGCCACUCCCGGAAAGCCCCAUUUCCGAUUUGGUGGCUGCUGGUCACCCGGGGGCCUGCCUUUGUUGGGACUCAGACCCAGGGUUGGGGCUCAGAUGCCUGGGUUGUAGGGUGGGAGCACGACAGGUGCCGACAGGGAACAGCCUACAGACUAGAAAUGGCUUAAAUGGAGUAGUAAGUCCAGGCAACUAGAGUUUGGGCUGAGGGGACAAGCCCAGCUGGGAGGGAUUUGCAGCCUGCCUUGCCUCUUCCCCGUUAGCCCCCUCAGAGCUGCCUUGGUGGCUGGAGGGAAGUUGGGUGGGGGUGUCCCUGCCCUGGGGGGGGGGGGGGCUUUCCCAGCCACUCAGGGGCACCUGGCUCAGAGCAGGAGAAGCCUUUCAAAUCCCAAGGCCCAGGUGACCUAGGCUCCCAAUUUUUAUAGCCUUUAUCUCAUCCCUCCCCACCACAAUCUGAGACCAUCCGCAUUUUACAGGAGGGGAAACUGAGUUGUGAGAAGUGAGGUAACUCACUUAAAGGCCAGGUCGUUACUGCCAUUGCCCAUAUUUGUCUGGUGAAGCCCGGGCAGUGCGGGGAGCACGGUGGUGGAGAGAUCUCCCAGGGGAACAGGAAUUGAGCUUUCUAUCCUUAAGAUCUCAAGAAGUUUGACAGUGUGGAAGCUAUAGACACAGGAGAGUCACAGGAGAAAGUGAAGGGGACUAGCUGUCCAGGGACGCGAGGGAGCAAGCCCAGGAACAAACCGUGUGUCACACAUUGCUGAAGAGGAUUCGGUCCCUCUGGGCUACAUCUGGGGUGCAGAGAGUGUGGUCACCAGGAGAAGAGGGGCCCCGGGUCCUGCCUCUGCUCGCUUCUCUGUCUCCUUCACCCACCUUCCCGUCCAGGCACGUGCCCCUCUUAUCUCUGGCUCCCUCACCUGUGAUUCCUUACUCUCACCUCAGGGCCUUGGCCCUUCCUGGCCUCCCCUUCUCUGCUCUGUUUCUCACAGCACAGCAGGCAGCAAACCCCAACAGAACGUUUGCGAGUUUGCCGUCUGUGUGCACCUGUGCCUCCCUCACACGCAUACGCACACCGCACACCGUCACGUCAGCACCACCAGGGGAAGGGCUUGGUCUCUUGGCUUCCCUGCUGUCUCCCCAGCUCCUGGAACAGUGCCCAGCAUGUAGUAGGUGCUCAGUUCACUCAACGCGUGGGAUGAAGUCCUUCUCCUGCCUCCUCCAUCCAUUUCUGGAUCAACCCCCAGGCGGGACAGAUGUGGCCAAGUCAGUCACACAGAGAGAGGAGAGAGGCUAAGACACAGGCAGAGAGAGAAGCAGGCUCCAUGCAGCGGGAGCCCAACAUGGGAUUCGAUCCUGGGUCUCCAGGAUCGCGCCCUGGGCCAAAGGCAGGCACCAAACCGCUGUGCCACCCAGGGAUCCCUGUUACUAAGUAUUUUCAUGAAGGUGUGAACUGAAGUAGCUCUGUCAUCACGUGUCUGGGCCUCAGUCACCUCAUCUGCAAAAUGACACUUCAGAUCAAAUGUUCUCAACGGUUUGUUCUGAUCCAAGUCACAUUAAAUUAAAUUCAACUGAUUUCCUACCCAUAUGUUACGCGUGGACUAACCUUCAAGAGAGGUCCCCAUUCCCCCUGGAACAGAUGCUCUACUGCAGCCUAAGCAUGGGAAAGGAGAUUGAAGACAGAUGGAAGAGAGGAUUAUAUUGUCACACACGGUUACAAUACUUAAAAAAAAAUCGAGGCAGUUAUCCUCACCUUUUUAUUCAUGAGGGAACAGGACUUCAGACAGGCAACAUGUUCCAGUCACAGAGCAUCCAUGAGAACUUGGGAUCCAUAGGUCUUGGAUUUUCUGACUGCGAGUCUGAGACUUCCCUCAUUCAGAAUCCAGCUAAAUUCCUCCUCUUCUCUCCUAAACUACAUCGUCUCCUAGAGAACCAUCCUCAGCUUUUGUCACAAACUGACUGCAGGGAUUCCUAUGUUUUACUAGCCAACUUGGCCACAUCUGGGUACCCUGUAUGGUGUUGAUAUUUUUCUUCAGUUCAGUGUGUUUGUCUUCACUGAAAGAAACAUAUCUGAGAAGGAAACUCAAUAUCAGUGUGAUAAAUAGAAAAUUGCUUGUUGGGCAGCCCGGGUGGCUCAGUGGUUUAGCGGCCCAGGACCUGAUCCUGGAGACCCUGGAAUCAAGUCCCAUGUCGGGCUCCCUGCAUGGAGCCUGCUUCUCCCUCUGCCUGUGUCUCUGCC
Canis lupus familiaris (dog) is the source of this 2749-nucleotide long non-coding RNA. RefSeq lists it as uncharacterized. The transcript has 4 exons. Lineage: Eukaryota; Metazoa; Chordata; Mammalia; Carnivora; Canidae. The record is from RefSeq and is a predicted model, not a curated record.